RNAcentral lists this unclassified non-coding RNA (154 nucleotides) under soil metagenome. RNAcentral describes it as "partial internal transcribed spacer 1". The record is from RNAcentral.
CAGAGUUAUCCAACUCCCAAACCCAUGUGAACUUAUCUCUUUGUUGCCUCGGCGCAAGCUACCCGGGACCUCGCGCCCCGGGCGGCCCGCCGGCGGACAAACCAUAACUCUUGUUAUCUUAGUUGAUUAUCUGAGUGUCUUAUUUAAUAAGUCA